AACGUAGGUCACAAGCGUUGUCCGGAAUUACUGGGUGUAAAGGGAGCGCAGGCGGGAGAACAAGUUGGAAGUGAAAUCCAUGGGCUCAACCCAUGAACUGCUUUCAAAACUGUUUUUCUUGAGUAGUGCAGAGGUAGGCGGAAUUCCCGGUGUAGCGGUGGAAUGCGUAGAUAUCGGGAGGAACACCAGUGGCGAAGGCGGCCUACUGGGCACCAACUGACGCUGAGGCUCGAAAGUGUGGGUAGCAAACAGGAUUAGAUACUCUGGUAGUCCACACCGUAAACGAUGAUUACUAGGUGUUGGAGGAUUGACCCCUUCAGUGCCGCAGUUAACACAAUAAGUAAUCCACCUGGGGAGUACGACCGCAAGGUUGAA
This 375-nucleotide ribosomal RNA is filed under the name uncultured bacterium. RNAcentral's name for it is "bacterial SSU rRNA". It matches the Rfam family "Bacterial small subunit ribosomal RNA", at positions 524 to 898 of the family's 1533-position model. The record is from RNAcentral.